Molecule: ribosomal RNA, 389 nt
Filed under: uncultured bacterium
Lineage: Bacteria
Description: bacterial SSU rRNA
Rfam family: Bacterial small subunit ribosomal RNA
Source: RNAcentral
GACGAACGCUGGCGGCGUGCUUAACACAUGCAAGUCGAGCGGUAAGGCCCUUUCGGGGGUACACGAGCGGCGAACGGGUGAGUAACACGUGGGUGACCUGCCCUCAGCUCUGGGAUAAGCCUGGGAAACCGGGUCUAAUACUGGAUAUGACUCCAUGACGCAUGUUGUGGGGUGGAAAGCCUUGUGCGGCUGAGGAUGGGCCCGCGGCCUAUCAGCUUGUUGGUGGGGUGAGGCCUACCAAGGCGACGACGGGUAGCCGGCCUGAGAGGGCGACCGGCCACACUGGGACUGAGACACGGCCCAGACUCCUACGGGAGGCAGCAGUGGGGAAUCUUGCGCAAGUGGGACGAAAGCCUGACGCAGCGACGCCGCGUGAGGGAUGACGGCCU